UACGAAGGGGGCUAGCGUUGCUCGGAAUCACUGGGCGUAGAGCGCACGUAGGCGGAUUUGUAAGUCAGGGGUGAAAUCCCGGGGCUCAACCUCGGAACUGCCUUUGAUACUGCAAGUCUUGAGUUAGGGAGAGGUGAGUGGAAUUCCUAGUGUAGAGGUGAAGUUCGUAGAUAUUAGGAAGAACACCAGUGGCGAAGGCGGCUCACUGGCCCGAUACUGACGCUGAGGUGCGAAAGCGUGGGUAGCAAACAGG
This 253-nucleotide ribosomal RNA is filed under the name uncultured bacterium. Its description in RNAcentral is "partial 16S ribosomal RNA". It matches the Rfam family "Bacterial small subunit ribosomal RNA", at positions 524 to 776 of the family's 1533-position model. The record is from RNAcentral.